This 75-nucleotide small RNA is filed under the name Mytilus galloprovincialis (Mediterranean mussel). The record is from RNAcentral. Lineage: Eukaryota; Metazoa; Mollusca; Bivalvia; Mytilida; Mytilidae.
AUGUUUCUUUGAAUAUUGAAUCUGGGAAAACUGAUGUUACAUCAGUUUUCCCAGAUUCAAUAUUCAAAGAAACAU